This 73-nucleotide transfer RNA is filed under the name Planctomycetota bacterium. Its description in RNAcentral is "Planctomycetes bacterium tRNA-Phe". It matches the Rfam family "tRNA". Rfam says of the family: Transfer RNA (tRNA) molecules are approximately 80 nucleotides in length. Their secondary structure includes four short double-helical elements and three loops (D, anti-codon, and T loops). The record is from RNAcentral. Lineage: Bacteria; Pseudomonadati; Planctomycetota. RNAcentral also lists the same sequence under 1 other name.
GGUCGGGUAGCUCAGUUGGUAGAGCAACGGACUGAAAAUCCGUGUGUCGGCGGUUCGAGACCGCCCCCGACCA